UACGGAGGGUGCAAGCAUUAAUCGGAUUUAUUGGGCGUAAAGGGCGCGUAGGCGGGAAUGUUAGUCAGAUGUGAAAGCCCAGGGCUCAACCCUGGAAUAGCAUUUGAAACUGCAUUUCUAGAGGAUAGGCGGAGAAAACAGAAUUCCACGUGUAGCGGUGAAAUGCGUAGAUAUGUGGAAGAAUACCGGUGGCGAAGGCGGUUUUCUAGCUUAGACCUGACGCUGAGGCGCGAAAGCAAGGGGAGCAAACAGG
Molecule: ribosomal RNA, 253 nt
Filed under: uncultured bacterium
Lineage: Bacteria
Description: partial 16S ribosomal RNA
Rfam family: Bacterial small subunit ribosomal RNA
Source: RNAcentral